Molecule: transfer RNA, 70 nt
Filed under: Salix viminalis (osier)
Lineage: Eukaryota; Viridiplantae; Streptophyta; Magnoliopsida; Malpighiales; Salicaceae
Rfam family: tRNA (bases 4-65)
About the family: Transfer RNA (tRNA) molecules are approximately 80 nucleotides in length. Their secondary structure includes four short double-helical elements and three loops (D, anti-codon, and T loops).
Source: RNAcentral
GUCCUUUGGCCGAGUGGUUAAGGCAUGCGUUGAUUCCCUGCAUGCGAGAGUUCGAAUCUCUCAAGCCACA